UCGCGCCGUCGCCCCUGCGAAGGCAGGGGCCGCUAUCGGUGCAGCGCAAGGCCGACAGCGGCCCCUGCCUUCGCAGGGGCGACGAUGGGC
This 90-nucleotide microRNA precursor is filed under the name Sphingopyxis panaciterrulae. Its description in RNAcentral is "microRNA MIR1846". Lineage: Bacteria; Pseudomonadati; Pseudomonadota; Alphaproteobacteria; Sphingomonadales; Sphingopyxidaceae. The record is from RNAcentral.